RNAcentral lists this ribosomal RNA (254 nucleotides) under uncultured bacterium. RNAcentral's name for it is "partial 16S ribosomal RNA". It matches the Rfam family "Bacterial small subunit ribosomal RNA", at positions 524 to 777 of the family's 1533-position model. The record is from RNAcentral.
UACGAGGGGGGCAAGCGUUGUUCGGAAUUAUUGGGCGUAAAGGGUGCGUAGGCGGUCUGACAAGUCUGAUGUGAAAUCUAUGGGCUCAACCCAUAGUCUGCAUCGGAAACUGUCGGGCUUGAGUAUGGGAGAGGUGAGUGGAAUUUCCGGUGUAGCGGUGAAAUGCGUAGAUAUCUGGAAGAACACCAAUGGCGAAGGCAAUGUUCUGGCUCGUUUCUGACGCUCAGGUGCGAAAGCCAGGGGAGCGAACGGGG